RNAcentral lists this ribosomal RNA (479 nucleotides) under uncultured bacterium. RNAcentral's name for it is "SSU rRNA". It matches the Rfam family "Bacterial small subunit ribosomal RNA", at positions 26 to 518 of the family's 1533-position model. The record is from RNAcentral.
AGGACGAACGCUGGCGGCGUGCUUAACACAUGCAAGUCGAACGGAAAGGCCCUUUCGGGGGUACUCGAGUGGCGAACGGGUGAGUAACACGUGGGUGAUCUGCCCUGCACUUUGGGAUAAGCCUGGGAAACUGGGUCUAAUACCGAAUACACCUUGCUGGCUGCAUGGCCUGGUGGGGGAAAGCUUUUGCGGUGUGGGAUGGGCCCGCGGCCUAUCAGCUUGUUGGUGGGGUGAUGGCCUACCAAGGCGACGACGGGUAGCCGGCCUGAGAGGGUGUCCGGCCACACUGGGACUGAGAUACGGCCCAGACUCCUACGGGAGGCAGCAGUGGGGAAUAUUGCACAAUGGGCGCAAGCCUGAUGCAGCGACGCCGCGUGAGGGAUGACGGCCUUCGGGUUGUAAACCUCUUUCAGUAUCGACGAAGCGCAAGUGACGGUAGUACAGAAGAAGCACCGGCCAACGUACGUGCCAGCAGCCGC